GUGGGGAAUCUUCCACAAUGGACGAAAGUCUGAUGGAGCAACGCCGCGUGAGUGAAGAAGGGUUUCGGCUCGUAAAGCUCUGUUGUCGGGGACGAAUGUGCAGUAUUUGAAUAAAGUACUGUAAUGACGGUACCUGACGAGGAAGCCACGGCUAACUACGUGCCAGCAGCCGCGGUAAUACGUAGGUGGCAAGCGUUGUCCGGAAUUAUUGGGCGUAAAGGGAGCGCAGGCGGGAAGGUAAGUCGGUCUUAAAAGUGCGAGGCUCAACCCCGUGAUGGGAUCGAAACUAUCUUUCUUGAGUGCAGGAGAGGAAAGUGGAAUUCCUAGUGUAGCGGUGAAAUGCGUAGAUAUUAGGAGGAACACCAGUGGCGAAGGCGACUUUCUGGACUGUAACUGACGCUGAGGCUCGAAAGCCAGGGGAGCGAACGGGAUUAGAUACCCUGGUAGUCC
This 450-nucleotide ribosomal RNA is filed under the name uncultured bacterium. RNAcentral describes it as "partial 16S ribosomal RNA". It matches the Rfam family "Bacterial small subunit ribosomal RNA", at positions 354 to 796 of the family's 1533-position model. The record is from RNAcentral.